UUGACCUCGGAUCAGGUAGGGAUACCCGCUGAACUUAAGCAUAUCAAUAAGCGGAGGAAAAGAAACCAACAGGGAUUGCCUCAGUAACGGCGAGUGAAGCGGCAACAGCUCAAAUUUGAAAUCUGGCUCUUUCAGGGUCCGAGUUGUAAUUUGUAGAAGAUGCUUUGGGUGUGGCUCCGGUCUAAGUUCCUUGGAACAGGACGUCAUAGAGGGUGAGAAUCCCGUACGUGACUGGUUGCCUCCGCCCGUGUAAAGCUCUUUCGACGAGUCGAGUUGUUUGGGAAUGCAGCUCAAAAUGGGUGGUAAAUUUCAUCUAAAGCUAAAUAUUGGCCAGAGACCGAUAGCGCACAAGUAGAGUGAUCGAAAGAUGAAAAGCACUUUGGAAAGAGAGUUAAACAGUACGUGAAAUUGUUGAAAGGGAAGCGCUUGCAACCAGACUUGCAUGCGGUUGAUCAUCCGAGCUUUUGCCCGGUGCACUCGAUCGUAUUCAGGCCAGCAUCGGUUUUGGUGGGCGGAUAAAGGCCUUGGGAAUGUAGCUUCCUUCGGGGAGUGUUAUAGCCCUCGGUGCAAUGCGCCCUACCGGGACCGAGGACCGCGCUCGGCUAGGAUGCUGCGUA
RNAcentral lists this ribosomal RNA (617 nucleotides) under uncultured Meliniomyces. Its description in RNAcentral is "eukaryotic LSU rRNA". It matches the Rfam family "Eukaryotic large subunit ribosomal RNA", at positions 1 to 632 of the family's 3401-position model. Lineage: Eukaryota; Fungi; Ascomycota; Leotiomycetes; Helotiales; Helotiaceae. The record is from RNAcentral.